UAUUCCAUCUCUGUUUUCAGAAUCUGAAUACCAGUUUCUUUUUUUUAUGUAAUAAAUCUUUGAAAAAAAAAGAGGAAGCCGAUGUUACACUGUAAUUCCUCUAACGUCUUAAUCAAUGUUUUGUGGAUAAAAAGAAAGAAAACCUGAACAUUGCUGCUCUAAGAUAUAAACUAGUUUUCUACUGUGUAAAUUCACGAUCUGAUCCAGAAUGAUGACAUUCUUUGGCGUGUUAUUUGAUUAAGUCUUUUUAAGGAAUUUGAGCAUAAUCACCUGAAUUGCCUAUGGUAUAUAAAUUCGGUGGAUGAACGAAACAUUUCUUUCCAAAAUUCUCAUUUUCUAAGAUGAUCGUAGAUUCCCUGUCAUUUCGUAGCUAGUAAAGUUACAAUUCUGGAAAGCUGAAUUAUUGAAUGCAACAUAUUAUCACACGUCACCUCCGUCCGUGACGAAUCUCGAAAACUUAGAGUCUUAUUUUCUUUCUCUAUCUAGUUAUUAACAGGACUAGUCAAUCCAUAAUGAAUACUUCCGACUACAAAAUCGUGCCGUAUGCUGAUAUAUGAGAAAUACAAAUAUUUGUCAUUCUGAAGUACAAAUUAAGAUAGAGAAAAGUGGGGAGAGGGAAGAAGGGAGUGAGAAAGGGGUGUACAGAGAGGGAGGGUGAAAGGGAGAGUGGCCGAACUAAGCCAGUUAAGAGUGGCCGAACCAAGCGAAAUUAAGUCAUUUCCAUAGCAAUUCUGCUGUUGGGAUAUCUGAGUUAGUUUUUACAGACACCUCAAUUCCUCUCGUCUUGGACUUUCAUUCUGCUUUCUGAAGCACUCACCGCAAUCCAUGUCUCGCUACCAUUUAAUCAUUUUCUUCUUGGUCACCGUCUUACCUUCUAUUUUCAUGACUGAAUUUUCAAGUAUCUUAAUCCUUCUACUGAUGCAAUUGAACAAUUUUAUUUUCUUCGUCUUGUUGAUUCUUUCUCACUUUUCAACCGACGCAUUCUACCACUUAAUUUACUAUUCUCACUUUGAUUCACUCUAAAUUCAUGUGUUUAUAUAUUUCAGUUGUACGUAAAUCAACAUUGUCAGUUAUAUAAAAACUUUCAUACCCGUGUCGUCAAAAAUGCCGACAGUUUUAUUAGUGAUGGAAAAUGGACAUCAACACAAUGGGGGGUGGGGAAACCAUUAAUAAAUGUCUGCAAUCUCAUAAAUAUAUCUACAGACACAGAAUUGAAGCACUUGAAGAAUCAAAUACGAUUGUAACGUCUUGCUUGAAAAUAUCACCCACAUAAUGUAUGUGUGAGUAUCGACACAUAAAACACAGAUCGAUGAAAUCAGUAAAAUAUGUUAUCCAUUACUUGAAGAAAAGAAAUAGGGCUUGUAUCAAAAAGGGCAAGCAAGGAAGAAGGACUAAAACGAAAGGAAAGAAAUGAAAAUCGAGCAAUCACAUUGAGGCUUCCCUCGUUGCUGUUGUUAUAGCUGGUUUAAAUCUUGGUGGAUAUGCACAAGUAACUAUAAGAAUAUCGUCUAAAGUACUGAGAGAAGCGAAUAAAGGCGGCAGUGCUAAAACAACGUACGUGCAAACAACCAUUUUUACUUGAAAUGAAAUGAAGGAACAUCUGUACAGAAUUUUCUGCAAAUCAUGAAGAUGUGCUGACUAUACUAUGCUAAUGGGAUCUAACAGGGCGAAAAAUAUCCACACUUAUUCCUUAGCUGCAAGCUAAGGUCAAACUUUUAUUCUUCCAAUAUGUUUAUUUAAGAGAGUAAUUCUUAAUUCCUUGAGAUUAUCUUCCCCUUUUCUUUGCUAGUCACUAACAAUUGUUGAUAAGUUGUGUGUUUUUUCUCUCUCGAACUUAAAAAGAAAUUUUAAAUAAUCAAGAAUUUUUUGCUCACAGCAUUCAAUACAUCACCUCUUAACUUUCAAAAAAACGCAGAAUAUUUAGUUCGUUGUUCUUUAAAUUGUGAAAAUAGUAACAAUAUCUUUACAUUGAUAUAAUGCCAAAAAUUGUUCACAUUGGCUUUAUCUCGUAUUCGAGAAUUUAGUUUCUUUGCCGAACACAUCCUUUAUGGUGAUGGCGUUGAUGACUAAAUAGACCAAUUCUUGCAUAGAAAAGUCGAUGUCACUGACUGCAUGGUAAUGUUGGUGGCAGACGAGGUUGAUUUUGUCAAGCCUUUCUUUCCUGCCGUUUGAUUUCUUCCUUUUCCCUUCUGGUUGCUUCGAAGAUUUUGUUUCCGAUGGUGAUGGAACACUGCCACUUGGCACCGUCUCGAACUGCUUACAACUGUGAAAAAAAAUACAUACUGUACCCAGUAUAUUCAUGGGACAACCACUCAUGACAGAAAUGGUAAAGCCAACCCUAGUAUUAAACGCGAAAAGAUAAAACUAAAAUAGUUUAUAGAAUUUAGUCCACCUGUUUACAGUUUCUGCUUCAACUAUUAAUAAAGCGUCCGAUGCGGUGACCUGGCAGAACCGUUUACAUGUCGGACAAAAUGCUAAGUGACAUUCCGUUCGUCUUUGCGUUCUAAGUUCAAAUUCCAUUGCAGUCGACUUUGCCUUUCAUCCUUUCGAGGUCAAUUAAAUAAGCACCAGACAAGUACUAAGACCGAUGUAAUCGACUUAUCUCUCUGCUCAAAAACUGCUGACCUGUGCCAAAAAUUGAAACUAUUAUUAAUAAAGCAGUCGGCCAAAUUCCUUGAGGUUUUGAGCAACAUAUUUAUUCGUUCUGUGUUAAAAUACCACCAAAGUUGACAGCGCCGUUUUUUUUUCUUCUGGUGCUGAUAAAAAAGGCAAUAGUCGCAUAAGUUCUUAAGCGACUAUACCCAGUGGCGUAGCUAGGGUAAACCGCGCCCGGGGCAAGCCGCAAAAAUGUGCCCCCCUCCAUUACAAAAUCCACAAUAUUAUAUAGUACUUAUUUGUUACAAGUAAUUAAUGUUUUAAAGCAAUAUUUUACCAGGGUUCAUUUACCUGCCGAUUCUGUACAGCCUGUAAUCCAAGAUAUAUUUUUUGAACGUUUACUUUUACGAAACCUCCUUAUUUGAACCAUUUAAAGCAUCAGCCAGCUUCUCCGAUUGUAACAUUAAAAAA
Molecule: long non-coding RNA, 3066 nt
Organism: Octopus bimaculoides (California two-spot octopus)
Lineage: Eukaryota; Metazoa; Mollusca; Cephalopoda; Octopoda; Octopodidae
Source: RefSeq, a predicted model, not a curated record